This 539-nucleotide ribosomal RNA is filed under the name uncultured bacterium. RNAcentral describes it as "bacterial SSU rRNA". It matches the Rfam family "Bacterial small subunit ribosomal RNA", at positions 8 to 529 of the family's 1533-position model. The record is from RNAcentral.
AGAGUUUGAUUAUGGCUCAGGAUGAACGCUGGCGGCGUGCUUAACACAUGCAAGUCGAACGGACCUGUACUGAAACCUAGUGAUUUACAGGUUAGUGGCGGACGGGUGAGUAACGCGUGGAAAACCUGCCGUAUACUGGGGGAUAACACUUAGAAAUAGGUGCUAAUACCGCAUAAGCGCACAGACCCGCAUGGGACAGUGUGGAAAACAAAAAGCUAAAGCUUUUUAUGGUAUACGAUGGUUCCGCGUCUGAUUAGCUUGUUGGCGGGAUAACGGCCCACCAAGGCGACGAUCAGUAGCCGGCCUGAGAGGGUGAACGGCCACAUUGGGACUGAGACACGGCCCAGACUCCUACGGGAGGCAGCACCGGGGAAUAUUGCACAAUGGGGGAAACCCUGAUGCAGCGACGCCGCGUGAGUGAAGAAGUAUCUCGGUACGUAAAGCUCUAUCAGCAAGGAAGAAAAAAAGUCUUUGGCUUUGGACGGUACCUGACUAAAAAGCCCCGGCUAACUACGUGCCAACAGCCGCGGUAAUACGUA